CGCGAAGAACCUUACCUGGCCUUGACAUGCAUGUGGUAGAACCAUGAAAGUGGGACGACCCCGCAAGGGGAGCAUGCACAGGUGCUGCAUGGCUGUCGUCAGCUCGUGUCGUGAGAUGUUGGGUUAAGUCCCGCAACGAGCGCAACCCUUGUGUCCUGUUGCCACCCUUACGAGAGUAAGGAGCACUCUGGACAGACUGCCUCGCUUAAACGGGGAGGAAGGUGGGGAUGACGUCAAGUCAGUAUGGCCCUUACGGCCAGGGCUGCACACGUACUACAAUGCAUGGCACAAAGGGAAGCUAGGCCGUCAGGCGGAGCAAAUCCCAUAAAACCAUGCCCAGUUCAGAUUGUCGUCUGCAACUCGACGACAUGAAGCCGGAAUCGCUAGUAAUGGCGCAUCAG
RNAcentral lists this ribosomal RNA (401 nucleotides) under uncultured bacterium. RNAcentral describes it as "bacterial SSU rRNA". It matches the Rfam family "Bacterial small subunit ribosomal RNA", at positions 960 to 1352 of the family's 1533-position model. The record is from RNAcentral.